AGAGAGAGACAUGCGCGCAUAUCAAUAAGCGGAGGAAAAGAAACUAACAAGGAUUCCCUUAGUAACGGCGAGUGAAGCGGGAAGAGCUCAAAUUUGAAAAUCUUCAAGGUUUUACCUUGACGAAUUGUAGUUUAAAGAAGUGUUUUCUGCUGAAGUUUUGGUAAAAGUUCUUUGGAAUAGGACAUCAUAGAGGGUGAGAAUCCCGUAUUUGACCAUUAUUUUCAGCUUUGUGAUACACUUUCAAAGAGUCGGAUUGUUUGGGAAUGCAGUCCAAAAUGGGUGGUAAAUUUCAUCUAAAGCUAAAUAUUGGCGAGAGACCGAUAGCGAACAAGUACCGUGAGGGAAAGAUGAAAAGAACUUUGAAAAGAGAGUUAAACAGUACGUGAAAUUGUCAAAAGGGAAGCGUUUGACACCAGUGUUGUUUUCUCGAAAAUCAAUUAAAAAUGGCUCGAUUUUGUAUUGUUGAGACCUUAAAAGCUCACUGUACAUUUUUCGUGUCUUUUUUAAUGCACUUUUCGUUUAACAAGUCAACAUCAGUUUCUUUUGUUGUAAAAGGGUCAUUGGAAGGUGGCUUUCUUUUCGGAGAAAGUGUUUAUAGCCUUUGGCCCCUGCAAUCGGAGAGACUGAGGUCUGCAGCGUAGACUCUUCGGGGUUAGAUACAUUUGUGCUAAGUUAUAGCUUUUUAUAGACAACUUGUUGACUAUAAUUAGUCUUGUAGCUUACUCGCUUAUGCUAUUUUACCUACGCUUAGGAUGUUGAAGUCAUCGUAUCGCG
Molecule: ribosomal RNA, 774 nt
Filed under: uncultured Neocallimastigales
Lineage: Eukaryota; Fungi; Neocallimastigomycota; Neocallimastigomycetes; Neocallimastigales
Description: partial large subunit ribosomal RNA
Rfam family: Eukaryotic large subunit ribosomal RNA
Source: RNAcentral